This 837-nucleotide ribosomal RNA is filed under the name Lentilactobacillus diolivorans. Its description in RNAcentral is "bacterial SSU rRNA". It matches the Rfam family "Bacterial small subunit ribosomal RNA", at positions 43 to 859 of the family's 1533-position model. The record is from RNAcentral. Lineage: Bacteria; Bacillati; Bacillota; Bacilli; Lactobacillales; Lactobacillaceae.
CGCGUCUUGGUCAAUGAUUUUAGGUGCUUGCACUUGACUGAUUUGACAUUGAGACGAGUGGCGAACUGGUGAGUAACACGUGGGUAACCUGCCCUUGAAGUAGAGGAUAACACUUGGAAACAGGUGCUAAUACUGCAUAACAACGAAAACCGCCUGGUUUUCGUUUGAAAGAUGGCUUCGGCUAUCGCUUUAGGAUGGACCCGCGGCGUAUUAGCUAGUUGGUGAGGUAACGGCUCACCAAGGCAAUGAUACGUAGCCGACCUGAGAGGGUAAUCGGCCACAUUGGGACUGAGACACGGCCCAAACUCCUACGGGAGGCAGCAGUAGGGAAUCUUCCACAAUGGACGAAAGUCUGAUGGAGCAACGCCGCGUGAGUGAUGAAGGGUUUCGGCUCGUAAAACUCUGUUGUUGGAGAAGAACGGGUGUCAGAGUAACUGUUGACAUCGUGACGGUAUCCAACCAGAAAGCCACGGCUAACUACGUGCCAGCAGCCGCGGUAAUACGUAGGUGGCAAGCGUUGUCCGGAUUUAUUGGGCGUAAAGCGAGCGCAGGCGGUUUUUUAGGUCUGAUGUGAAAGCCUUCGGCUUAACCGGAGAAGUGCAUCGGAAACCGGGAGACUUGAGUGCAGAAGAGGACAGUGGAACUCCAUGUGUAGCGGUGAAAUGCGUAGAUAUAUGGAAGAACACCAGUGGCGAAGGCGGCUGUCUGGUCUGUAACUGACGCUGAGGCUCGAAAGCAUGGGUAGCGAACAGGAUUAGAUACCCUGGUAGUCCAUGCCGUAAACGAUGAGUGCUAAGUGUUGGAGGGUUUCCGCCCUUCAGUGCUGCAGCUAACGCA